GCAAACUUGGUCAUUUAGAGGAAGUAAAAGUCGUAACAAGGUUUCCGUAGGUGAACCUGCGGAAGGAUCAUUAUCAAUCUUAGCGGGGGGACCCUUGAGGUUUUUUCGCGUAUAUACUUAAAACCCAACUCUUAUAUGAAUCAUCAUUUUUUAUGUGAAAUAAAAAAUAAAAAAGAUCACUUUCAACAACGGAUCUCUUGGCUCUCAGAGACAGGCAAACUUGGUCAUUUAGAGGAAGUAAAAGUCGUAACAAGGUUUCCGUAGGUGAACCUGCGGAAGGAUCAUUAUCAAUCUUAGCGGGGGGACCCUUGAGGUUUUUUCGCGUAUAUACUUAAAACCCAACUCUUAUAUGAAUCAUCAUUUUUUAUGUGAAAUAAAAAAUAAAAAAGAUCACUUUCAACAACGGAUCUCUUGGCUCUCGCAUCGAUGAAGAACGCAGC
Molecule: unclassified non-coding RNA, 440 nt
Filed under: uncultured fungus
Lineage: Eukaryota; Fungi
Description: partial contains small subunit ribosomal RNA, internal transcribed spacer 1, and 5.8S ribosomal RNA
Rfam family: Eukaryotic small subunit ribosomal RNA (bases 1-73)
Source: RNAcentral